CAAUAGCGUAUAUUAAAGUUGUUGCAGUUAAAAAGCUCGUAGUUGGAUUUCUGGUCGGAAGCUCCUGUCCUCUGAUGAGCGUACAAGUGCGUCCUACCAUCCUUCUGUUAACCUUUAAGGCUUUCGCGGCUUUCUAGGGGCUCAGAUAUUUUACCUUGAGAAAAUUAGAGUGUUUCAGGCAGGCUAGCGCCGGAAUACAUUAGCAUGGAAUAAUGGAAUAGGACUUUUGCCUCUUCUGUUGGUCAUGAGGCUCGAGUAAUGAUUAAUAGGGAUAGUUGGGGGCAUUAGUACUUAACUGUCAGAGGUGAAAUUCUCGGAUUUGUUAAAGACUAACUUAUGCGAAAGCAUUUGCUAAGGAUGUUUUCAUUAA
Molecule: ribosomal RNA, 370 nt
Filed under: uncultured eukaryote
Lineage: Eukaryota
Description: partial 18S ribosomal RNA
Rfam family: Eukaryotic small subunit ribosomal RNA
Source: RNAcentral